AUUGGAAGCUGAUAAUUCUGUGCAUGUUUCAGAAAGGAUCAAAACUGUGCAAGGCCAUUUGAAGGAUUAAAGUUUGUGGAUGUUGGUUGUGGUGGGGGAAUUAUAUCUGAGCCUUUGGCUCGUAUGGGAGCUAGUGUAAUGGGCAUAGAUGCUGUGGAAAAGAAUAUCAAGAUUGCACAACUUCACGCUGAUUUGGAUCCUAUAACCUCAUCCAUAGACUAUCGUUGCACAACAGCUGAAAAGCUGGUGGAAGAACAGAGACAAUUUGAUGCUGUAAUUGCAUUAGAGGUACGUCAAUGUGUUGAUGCUGGAGCAACUUCCUUGUGAUGACGUGAUUGCUUAAGAAACACAAUAGCAUAUUAUACUAAAGACCACGCGAGCGUACGGUAGAGUAAUAGUACGUUUGAUAAGGCUUUUUCAAACGUAUAAGCUGGUCAAACAUUAAUUUUAUCCACGCAGGACCCAUAACUUUUAUCCACUUUUUAUUCCUACAUUCUGUAGGACUCAAGCUUAUGCUGAAGACUUAUUUGGCAUAGCUUCUACUUUGCUUGUUGUAGAAGAGUUUUUUCAAAAUGUCAUGAGUCAGUUUUUUCUAAAAACUCUUCUAAUCAAAUAAAGCACUUCGAGAAAAUUACACGCACAGGUCCAAAUGUAGUUCUUAGUCUCAAAAGUAGAUUUUUUUGUUUUUCAGAAGCCAAGCCAAACGUGCCCUAAAUUGCUAAUGUUAUGCCAUAUAUUUUUGCAUUAUGAGCCCGUUUGAGCCACAUUAUUUGUAGAAUGAGAAUGAAAAAUAAAGUCGUUAUGGG
Molecule: long non-coding RNA, 806 nt
Organism: Olea europaea var. sylvestris
Lineage: Eukaryota; Viridiplantae; Streptophyta; Magnoliopsida; Lamiales; Oleaceae
Exons: 4
Source: RefSeq, a predicted model, not a curated record